RNAcentral lists this ribosomal RNA (493 nucleotides) under uncultured bacterium. RNAcentral describes it as "partial 16S ribosomal RNA". It matches the Rfam family "Bacterial small subunit ribosomal RNA", at positions 27 to 507 of the family's 1533-position model. The record is from RNAcentral.
GAGUGAACGCUGGCGGUAGGCCUAACACAUGCAAGUCGAACGGCAGCACAGUAAGAGCUUGCUCUUACGGGUGGCGAGUGGCGGACGGGUGAGGAAUACAUCGGAAUCUACUUUUUCGUGGGGGAUAACGUAGGGAAACUUACGCUAAUACCGCAUACGACCUACGGGUGAAAGCAGGGGAUCUUCGGACCUUGCGCGAUUGAAUGAGCCGAUGUCGGAUUAGCUAGUUGGCGGGGUAAAGGCCCACCAAGGCGACGAUCCGUAGCUGGUCUGAGAGGAUGAUCAGCCACACUGGAACUGAGACACGGUCCAGACUCCUACGGGAGGCAGCAGUGGGGAAUAUUGGACAAUGGGCGCAAGCCUGAUCCAGCCAUACCGCGUGGGUGAAGAAGGCCUUCGGGUUGUAAAGCCCUUUUGCUGGGAAAGAAAAGCAGCAGGUUAAUACCCCGCUGUUCUGACGGUACCCAAAGAAUAAGCACCGGCUAACUUCGUG